GGCGGUCAUCUCAGCGCAUGCAUGCAAAUCCAGGCGGAUCUUUGGACUUUGGUGUUGGUCAAGGCCUCCGGACCUCAGCGAAUCUCUCAAAUGACGACACCUGAUGGCUAAGCACAUACACAUGUCGCAAAUAAUCCAACAAGUUUUCUUAAUACGUAACGCUUGAAGAAAACCUGUGGCCCCGCAUGUCAGUGACACAACAGGAAUUUUGUUUUUCUUGUUAUUUUCUCUUUACAAAUUUAUAUAAUUGUAUUCUGGC
Molecule: long non-coding RNA, 259 nt
Filed under: Sorghum bicolor (sorghum)
Lineage: Eukaryota; Viridiplantae; Streptophyta; Magnoliopsida; Poales; Poaceae
Description: long non-coding RNA (SBIC_LNC004030)
Source: RNAcentral